This 28-nucleotide non-coding RNA is filed under the name Cricetulus griseus (Chinese hamster). The record is from RNAcentral. Lineage: Eukaryota; Metazoa; Chordata; Mammalia; Rodentia; Cricetidae.
AGGGGCUGGAGAGAUGGCUCAGAGUUAA